This is a long non-coding RNA of Acanthopagrus latus (yellowfin seabream), 835 nucleotides long. RefSeq lists it as uncharacterized. The record is from RefSeq and is a predicted model, not a curated record. NCBI's taxonomy places the organism in Eukaryota, Metazoa, Chordata, Actinopteri, Spariformes, Sparidae. The transcript has 3 exons.
AACCAAUCAGGCGCCAGUAUUUAUUAAAGGAUGUUUUUAUUAGUUUGUUUCGCUAUUUUUGGGCAGCACAGUUAGCGUUAGCCACGAUACUGAUAUAUUAUCGUCUUAUAAAGUUAAAAUGGUGGACAUUUUAGGAAACAGUUGCUUGUAUAUUACACAUAAACAGCAUUUAUUUGAAGUCGUCUCUGUCCACUAGGUGAAUAUAACGUCCAUUGACUUACACCUUGAGUGACUGAGACCACCCGUACGAAUGUCAUCCGCCAUGGCCUCCUCUAUCCUUGAUGUCAAAGAACGUUUCAAGGGCAGCUGAGAGAGGUGACAGGAAAUGGGAUGAGAGAGUGGGGGGACGACAUGCAGUGAAGGGCCACAGGUUGGACAUGAACCCCGGUCUGCUGCAGCGAGGACAAAGCCUCUGUACACGGGAUGCACUCUCAACAAACUUAGCUAACAGGUGCCCCGAUUCCUUUAUUUUUUUCACCAGUGUUGUUUUGAGUGCAGUUCCCUAAAAAUCAUAUGAUGCUGUUGUGUAACAGAAAAAAGGCUGAGUAAAUCAUUUUCAGCUAAACAGUAAUCACAAGGCACUAACCAGCAAACCUCAUCUGAACUGCUCUGAGUUAUAGUUUGAUAGUGUUCAGCGCUGAAAAGCACCUUUGUCCACCUCCUUAAGUGCUGUAUGUAUCAUAGUUCUUAGGUACUUGUAUAUUUCUACUAUAUACAACUUAAUACUUGGGAAAAAAAAUGUUUUCGAUAUUGCUAGAUACCAGAUUGGACAUACAAUCAUAUCUGGUUAAUAAAAUGUAACACGUUGUUAAAGAAUAAACAACACAUCAGUAUA